GCUGGGUGUGGUGGCACGCACCUGUAAUCCCAGCUACUUGGGAGGCUGAGGCAGGAGAAUCACUUGAACCCAGGAGGCAGAGGUUGCAGUGAGCCAAGAUCACGCCACUGCAUUCCAGCCUGGGUGACAGAAUGAGACUCUGUCUCUA
Molecule: non-coding RNA, 148 nt
Filed under: Nomascus leucogenys (northern white-cheeked gibbon)
Lineage: Eukaryota; Metazoa; Chordata; Mammalia; Primates; Hylobatidae
Source: Rfam by way of RNAcentral